This 446-nucleotide ribosomal RNA is filed under the name uncultured bacterium. RNAcentral's name for it is "bacterial SSU rRNA". It matches the Rfam family "Bacterial small subunit ribosomal RNA", at positions 355 to 825 of the family's 1533-position model. The record is from RNAcentral.
UCGGGAAUUUUGGGCAAUGGGGGAAACCCUGACCCAGCAACGCCGCGUGAAGGAUGAAGUAUUUCGGUAUGUAAACUUCGAAAGAAUAGGAAGAAUAAAUGACGGUACUAUUUAUAAGGUCCGGCUAACUACGUGCCAGCAGCCGCGGUAAUACGUAGGGACCAAGCGUUGUUCGGAUUUACUGGGCGUAAAGGGCGCGUAGGCGGCAAUUCAAGUCAUCUGUGAAAUCUCCGGGCUUAACUCGGAACGGUCAGAUGAUACUGCUUUGCUAGAGUGCAGAAGGGGCAAUCGGAAUUCUUGGUGUAGCGGUGAAAUGCGUAGAUAUCAAGAGGAACACCUGAGGUGAAGACGGGUUGCUGGGCUGACACUGACGCUGAGGCGCGAAAGCCAGGGGAGCAAACGGGAUUAGAUACCCUUGUGUCCCUGAGCGGGCUGGCAAGGCGCAU